Molecule: ribosomal RNA, 324 nt
Filed under: uncultured eukaryote
Lineage: Eukaryota
Description: partial 18S ribosomal RNA
Rfam family: Eukaryotic small subunit ribosomal RNA
Source: RNAcentral
CCCUUAGAUGUUCUGGGCUGCACGCGCGCUACACUGAAGCUAUCAACACGUUUUCCCUCCCUGAGAAGGGCGGGUAACCUUUUGAAUCAGCUUCGUGGUAGGGAUCGGGGCUUGCAAUUGUUCCCCGUGAACCAGGAAUUCCUAGUAGACGCGAGUCGUAAGCUCGCAUCGAUUAAGUCCCUGCCCUUUGUACACACCGCCCGUCGCUACUACCGAUUGGACGUUUUAGUGAGGCAUUUGGACCGACGCAUCUCAGUUUAACCGCUGGUUUGUGUUGGAAAGACUUCCAAACUUGAGCGUUUAGAGGAAGUAAAAGUCGUAACA